UUUUGAGAAAAGAAAAGGCUUCAUUGUGAGGUUGACCAGCAAGUAGACAGGAGGCAAAGCUCUCAAAUCUGUCUCCUUGAUCCAAGGUUUAGGGCAGAAUCUCAGAGG
Molecule: non-coding RNA, 108 nt
Organism: Ceratotherium simum simum (southern white rhinoceros)
Lineage: Eukaryota; Metazoa; Chordata; Mammalia; Perissodactyla; Rhinocerotidae
Source: RefSeq, a predicted model, not a curated record